UACAGAGGUCCCAAGCGUUGUUCGGAUUCACUGGGCGUAAAGGGUGCGUAGGCGGUCGGGUAAGUCUGAUGUGAAAUCUCACAGCUUAACUGUGAAACUGCAUUGGAUACUAUCCGGCUAGAGGAAUGGAGGGGAGACUGGAAUACUUGGUGUAGCAGUGAAAUGCGUAGAUAUCAAGUGGAACACCAGUGGCGAAGGCGGCUCACUGGCCCGGUACUGACGCUGAGGCACGAAAGCGUGGGGAGCAAACAGG
RNAcentral lists this ribosomal RNA (253 nucleotides) under uncultured bacterium. Its description in RNAcentral is "partial 16S ribosomal RNA". It matches the Rfam family "Bacterial small subunit ribosomal RNA", at positions 524 to 776 of the family's 1533-position model. The record is from RNAcentral.